This 674-nucleotide ribosomal RNA is filed under the name Proteus mirabilis. RNAcentral's name for it is "partial 23S ribosomal RNA". It matches the Rfam family "Bacterial large subunit ribosomal RNA", at positions 678 to 1248 of the family's 2925-position model. The record is from RNAcentral. Lineage: Bacteria; Pseudomonadati; Pseudomonadota; Gammaproteobacteria; Enterobacterales; Morganellaceae.
CGAGUCUUAACUGGGCGAAUGAGUUGCAGGGUAUAGACCCGAAACCCGGUGAUCUAUCCAUGGGCAGGUUGAAGGUUGGGUAACACUAACUGGAGGACCGAACCGACUAAUGUUGAAAAAUUAGCGGAUGACUUGUGGAUGGGGGUGAAAGGCCAAUCAAACCGGGAGAUAGCUGGUUCUCCCCGAAAGCUAUUUAGGUAGCGCCUCGUGAACUCAUCUUCGGGGGUAGAGCACUGUUUCGACUAGGGGGUCAUCCCGACUUACCAACUCGAUGCAAACUGCGAAUACCGAAGAAUGUUAUCACGGGAGACACACGGCGGGUGCUAACGUCCGUCGUGAAGAGGGAAACAACCCAGACCGCCAGCUAAGGUCCCAAAGUCAUGGUUAAGUGGGAAACGAAGUGGGAAGGCUCAGACAGCCAGGAUGUUGGCUUAGAAGCAGCCAUCAUUUAAAGAAAGCGUAAUAGCUCACUGGUCGAGUCGGCCCGCGCGGAAGAUGUAACGGGGCUAAACCAUGCACCGAAGCUGCGGCAGCGAACGUAUCACUUAAAUUUGUUUGAGUGAAUAACGAUUGACGGAACGAAGUGACGUCAAUGCGUUAAUGAAAGUCGAGGCGAAAGCACGACAAAGCGAAUUUAAGGAUACGUUCGUUGGGUAGGGGAGCGUUCUGUAAGC